This 618-nucleotide ribosomal RNA is filed under the name uncultured fungus. RNAcentral describes it as "eukaryotic LSU rRNA". It matches the Rfam family "Eukaryotic large subunit ribosomal RNA", at positions 23 to 603 of the family's 3401-position model. Lineage: Eukaryota; Fungi. The record is from RNAcentral.
ACCCGCUGAACUUAAGCAUAUUAAUAAGCGGAGGAAAAGAAACUAACAAGGAUUCCCCGAGUAAUGGCGAACGAAACGGGAAUAGCCCAAAUUUGAAAUCUCUGGCGCAAGUCAGCGAGUUGUAAUUUGGAAAGAAAGUGUUCCUUGCCUCUUUGUUUUUGCAAAAGUCCACUGGAAUGUGGCGGCACUUUUGUGCUCUUUGGGUCAUAGAGGGUGAAAAUCCCGUUUUGCAUGAAUAGAGAGACUGUUGUGUCACUUUCUUUAAGAGUCGGAUUGUUUGGGAAUGCAAUCCAAAAUGGGUGGUAAAUUCCAUCUAAGGCUAAAUAUAAGCAAGAGACCGAUAGCGAACAAGUACCGUGAGGGAAAGAUGAAAAGAACUCUGAAGGGAGAGUUCAAUAGUACGUGAAAUUGCUGAAAGGGAAACGCUUGGAACUAUUGUUGCUCUUAGUAGAACUUGUUCUAUUAAGGCGAGUCAACAGCAGUUUUGAGAGGCUUAGAAGUCUUGGGGAAAUGUGACUACAUUUUUUUGUAGUGUUAUAGUCCCCAAGUACCAAGUCUUUUGAGACUGAGGGCUGCCAUGUCUUUUGAAGGACAUUUUUUCUUGUUAGAUUGCUGUUG